RNAcentral lists this long non-coding RNA (395 nucleotides) under Setaria viridis. Its description in RNAcentral is "long non-coding RNA (SVIR_LNC003649)". The record is from RNAcentral. Lineage: Eukaryota; Viridiplantae; Streptophyta; Magnoliopsida; Poales; Poaceae.
UGACCCUAACCCUGAACCAGUCCCUGACGCGGCCAGUCUCUCGCAAAUCGACGUGAGCUUCCUCAUACCGCCCACCAUUGCUUAAUGACCUGCAAUUAAAAAGAGUAAACUAGUCAGCAUAGACACACAAAACAUAAUUACAAAGAUAUGGAAAUUAUAAUUAAAUUAUAAAUAAAUUAGUACAAAUCAUACAUGUAUUAGAAAUAAUCAUCAUGAUCGGGAUUAGCUGGAUCAUAAGUCUCAUCAUCACUAUCACGCGUGUCGAUAUAGUCAAGCCCGUGCUCCGAAGGAGGAAUGUCGUCAUCACUAUCAUUAGCUAACUGUAAUCGUUGAAGUAAUUCUAAGUCCUUCACAUUCUGAACCUCGUCUCCACCGUCCUCUAUCUCAACCCUCUC